RNAcentral lists this RNase P RNA (342 nucleotides) under uncultured Treponema sp. RNAcentral describes it as "Bacterial RNase P class A". It matches the Rfam family "Bacterial RNase P class A", at positions 32 to 357 of the family's 367-position model. Rfam says of the family: Ribonuclease P (RNase P) is a ubiquitous endoribonuclease, found in archaea, bacteria and eukarya as well as chloroplasts and mitochondria. Its best characterised activity is the generation of mature 5'-ends of tRNAs by cleaving the 5'-leader elements of precursor-tRNAs. Lineage: Bacteria; Pseudomonadati; Spirochaetota; Spirochaetia; Treponematales; Treponemataceae. The record is from RNAcentral.
AUUCUUGUUGUGAGGAAAGUCCGGGCUCCUCCGGAAAGAAUGCCGGAUAACAACCGGGCCAAUAUGGUAGAUGUAAUUAAUUUGCAUAUCCCAUAUUGGACAGAAAGUGCAACAGAAAAUGUACCGCCUGUUUACAGGUAAGGGUGAAAAGGUGGUGUAAGAGACUACCGCAUACGUGGUAACACGUAUGGCAUUGCAAACCUCAUUCGGAGCAAAAUUGAGCAGAAGUUUGGUUUCCGGCCUUAUACUUCGGGUAGAUUGCUAAAGGUAUCUGGUAACAGAUAUUUCGGAUAGAUGGUUAUGUCGUUUAUACGAUGACAGAACUCGGCUUAUUGUUCCAUC